AGUGGGGGAUAACGUAGCGAAAGUUACGCUAAUACCGCAUAUGCCCCGAGGGGGAAAGGAGGGGAUCGCAAGACCUUUCGCUUUCGGAGUGGCCGAUAUCGGAUCAGCUAGUAGGUGAGGUAAAGGCUCACCUAGGCGACGAUCCGUAGCUGGUCUGAGAGGACGACCAGCCACACUGGGACUGAGACACGGCCCAGACUCCUACGGGAGGCAGCAGUGGGGAAUUUUGGACAAUGGGCGCAAGCCUGAUCCAGCCAUGCCGCGUGAGUGAAGAAGGCCUUCGGGUUGUAAAGCUCUUUCAGCUGGAAAGAAAUCGUAUCUACUAAUACUAGGUGCGGAUGACGGUACCAGCAGAAGAAGCACCGGCUAACUACGUGCCAGCAGCCGCGGUAAUACGUAGGGUGCGAGCGUUAAUCGGAAUUACUGGGCGUAAAGCGUGCGCAGGCGGCUUUUUAAGCCAGAUGUGAAAUCCCCGGGCUUAACCUGGGAACUGCAUUUGGAACUGGAGGGCUAGAGUGUAGAAGAGGGGGGUAGAAUUCCA
RNAcentral lists this ribosomal RNA (541 nucleotides) under uncultured Gallionellaceae bacterium. RNAcentral's name for it is "bacterial SSU rRNA". It matches the Rfam family "Bacterial small subunit ribosomal RNA", at positions 135 to 671 of the family's 1533-position model. The record is from RNAcentral. Lineage: Bacteria; Pseudomonadati; Pseudomonadota; Betaproteobacteria; Nitrosomonadales; Gallionellaceae.